Molecule: long non-coding RNA, 3396 nt
Filed under: Fragaria vesca (wild strawberry)
Lineage: Eukaryota; Viridiplantae; Streptophyta; Magnoliopsida; Rosales; Rosaceae
Description: long non-coding RNA (FVES_LNC003676)
Source: RNAcentral
CCCUUUGUUCCUUCCCUCUCGCUUUCUCUUUAGCUUGUGAGGGUUAGAGUUUCCAUUGUAUCGAUCCCUUCCAAUCAAAGGUGAGUUGGGUGUGUAGUCUGCGUCGCAGGGUUCCAAACCCUUUCAAAAAGAUUAAAUAAACUGAUAGCAUAUUUUAAAAGUCACCAAAACCUUACUAUGAAAGAAGUAGAGACUUGCCUUGUAUUAGGUGUAGCUCGAGGCAAUCAAUCAUCACCGGGACAUAGUUCGGAAACAAGCUUUACUACUCCCCACAUGGGUGCAUCAUUCUGCAGAAAUCCAUGAAUUAAGUUAAAAAAGAGUACAGUAUCAUCACGAACAUAUAAGCAAGAAAUCAUGUCAACUUCACCACAUUUGACGAAUCUUUCAAUGGAAUGAAGCAAAAUUCCCAGCUUAUGGCACCAAAAACAUAUGCAACCUUUUCCUCUUUUUGGGACCUCCAUACACCCACAACAUUGAUCUUUCAACUUUUUUUGAGAAAAUUUGACGUGUUAUUUUGGUAUUUUCGCACGAUCUUACGAGAUUGCGAACGAACAUAUCAACGUUCUCGGAAUCUGCCGAAACCAAAUUCUUGGCUCUUUUUGGGACCUCCAUACACCCACAACAUUGAUCUUUCAACUUGUUCGCAAUCUCGUAAAUUUAGAAAACAAAAGAAAACAAAAGAAACGAGUUAUUCUUUUGGAUUAAAUUUAGUUUACCCUAUUGAGGUUUGGGGUUAACAUCAUUUCAGUAUCUAUACUCUCAAUUUUGAAAAUUUACCACUUAAAGUUUUCAAUUUUCAUAAAUCAUGCCCAAUUGCUAAAAUUCCGUCUAAUUUGAACGUUAAUUUUGACUUUAUAACUCAUUUUAAGGGCUAAAAUAGUCAUAUAACAUCAUUUAAUGUCUAAAAUUGCACGAAAUUUUAGCAAUUGGGUUUGAUUUAUGAAAAUUAGAAACUUUAGGAGGUAAAUUUUAUAAAAUUAAAAGUAUGUUAAAAUGAUGUUAACACCAAACCCCAUGGAGAUAAACUGAAAUUAAUCAUAUUCUUUUAGUGUAGCCCUUAAUGAUAAAGAUUCAGUAUACAAAAACAUCUACGAGGUCAUCCAUUUUUACUAUGAUUCUCAAUUAAAAAAUCAAGAAAUUCGUCUGAAUGGUAUACGAAUUUUUGUUCCUUAUAAACUUUUGUAUAUCAAGUUUUAAAAAUAUCAAAUUGGUAUCUCAUGUUUCUAUCUGGAUCUUAGAUUGGUAUAUAUAGCUACUAAGAUGACUAAUUUACCAAAAAAAAAGAUGACCAAAUAUUAAGAUGAGUAAUUUACUCACAAAUUUAUAAAAGCCAACCCAAGUCAUCACAUUCCAAAACCUCUUCAAAUAUUUCUGGAAUAUGAAAACAAAUAUAAAAAAAACUAAGAAAAAAAGAGAACUUAAGGGUAAAUUGGUCAUCUUAAUGAGUAUAUAUACAAAUCUUAGGUCUAGAUGGAAACAUGAGAUAUCAUUAUGUAUUUUCAAAACUUGAUAUACCAAAGUUUAUAAAGAGCAAAAGUUUGUAUAUCAUUCAGACGAAUUUCUCUAAAAAAAUUAGUUAAAAAGUUUAAAUAUAAAAUAAAAAAAUAAAAAUACAACACCUUCACAAAAGGCUAAUACAAAAUUAUCAUGAUACUAGGUUCCUAACAUCGGGGUUGAACCAUAACCCCAUUAAUAUUUCAUAGAAACCCAACAACAUUCCAGUUAGAGUGGAAAGUCCAGUUGGUACAAGCUUACAAUCAAUCAAACCAACCGCAGAGCUCUAAUAGUUUAUUUUGCAGUUAAAACCCACAACCUGUAAGCCUUGCAGCACUGUAUAUGAUUUGGGUUUAGCCUUCAUGUAUCUAAAUUUCUCUGGAAAAUAAUUAGCUCGACACUUCCUACAAAUUAUGCCAUUGCAGCAUAUUUCCAAAACGAAAAAAAAUGGCAUAAGAUUUUACUAUUUUGUUGAAAAUAAGAGACAAACUACAGAACAAACAGGCAUUACAAUCAGUGGCAAUCGAAAGUAACCCAAUGAAAGUAAUGAAAAGUUGAAAACCAAAGUAAACCCAGAUAAAAGAAAGAGAGGAUGAAGAGAAUAUAUGUACCCAAAUCGGACUCGAGCGGUUGACGGUGGCUGCGGCUGGAAGUGGAGAUCGGGCAGCCACACAAGAGAAGAAGGUGGCAUUUGUAUUACGAGUGUUACAAAGGUUUGGAGGGGGUGGGUUUGAGAGACACAGUCCUUCACUUUGGGCUUAAGGACGAGCCCAAUUCAAAUCAGCCAUCGACACUACCAACCUCUUUCGUAGUUGAGUGAAAUUUACACUCCCCAAAUUACAAACCACACUAUUUUCAUUGAGGUUGUGGUUAGACCAAUGGGCUAUUUGAUUCGGAAUCAGUGUGAACCCAUCCCUGUCGUGGAACGAGCGUUUAGAAGUUGAGACGUGCUUCCAUUGUGAGGAGAUUAUGAGUUGUCAUGAUGACAAUUAGUUUCCUUAACUACUACGAGGGAGGAGGGGUCGUUCGGUGAAACAUGGCUUACGUGUGGGGAUUACUUAUCCAAAUGUGGUUUUAGGCCGUUUACUCGCGCAGAUGUCCCUAAAUGUUGAUACAAGAAUUUACCUUAGAUUUCUGCUAAGCAAUAGGAUGCUUAUGCUGUGAUUCCCUACAAGACGAUGACUAGCGAUCAGAAGGGCUCCCGGACAGAUUCAGGUGUUGCCUCUUCGACGCUCAAAUCAUGAUCCAUAGCGAAAGCAAUUGGAUUUCUUGUAGAGACUAGAGGUAAGCAUAUACCUGAGCGUAAGAGCUUAGAAUCCCUUUUAUAGGUGGAGAGACGUGCUAUCAGCUGGAGCAUGCUCGUUUCUAGAAGAUUUCCACACGUGCGUCCAAAAGUGAGACCCAUGAGCGCGCAUGAAUGGUCAUAGCUCGUUGGUGAGAUACAUAUGCUUAGUCAUGCAUAACAUAGUUGACGGUGGUCCCACUAACAAAAACGAAAAGGAAACAAAAGGUAAAGGUGCGGUGCGGUUGGAAAUGAAAGGAAAAGUAAAUGGUGCCGAGGCUAUGGUAAAGGUUGCAAAAGCUGCAGUUUGUUUGUUUGUUGAGAGAGUUGUUUUUCUUUUACCCUAAAGCUGCACAAUACAUACUACCAAAUUUUUGUUGUUCAUUGUUGUAGGAGGAUUAAAGUAUUUAUUUUAUAACUGAAUUAAGUUAUCUUAAUUGUUUAAAGUUGCAUCUCCUUGUAAAACAUGGCUAGAACGAAGUAGUGACAUAAACCAUGAGAUAAACAUAAUUUGGGCCGCAUGUGUCAAACUAUCAGCUUAUGGAUAAACAUUAGAAUAAUAUUCAAAUUUAUAUUUGGGCUCAAAUAUUGGUGUCGCAAAAAAAAAGGUCAUAUUAUUG